RNAcentral lists this ribosomal RNA (404 nucleotides) under Verrucomicrobiota bacterium. RNAcentral describes it as "Verrucomicrobia bacterium partial 16S ribosomal RNA". It matches the Rfam family "Bacterial small subunit ribosomal RNA", at positions 355 to 776 of the family's 1533-position model. The record is from RNAcentral. Lineage: Bacteria; Pseudomonadati; Verrucomicrobiota.
UGGGGAAUAUUGCACAAUGGGGGAAACCCUGAUGCAGCGACGCCGCGUGAGCGAUGAAGGCUUUCGAGUCGUAAAGCUCUGUCCUAUGGGAAGAUAAUGACGGUACCAUAGAAGAAAGCCCCGGCUAAUUACGUGCCAGCAGCCGCGGUAAUACGUAAGGGGCGAGCGUUGUCCGGAAUUAUUGGGCGUAAAGAGUGCGUAGGCGGCAAAUUAAGUCAGAUGUGAAAACUAAGGGCUCAACCCAUAGAUUGCAUCUGAAACUGAUAUGCUUGGGUCAAGGAGAGGAAAGUGGAAUUCCUAGUGUAGCGGUGGAAUGCGUAGAUAUUAGGAGGAAUACCGGUGGCGAAGGCGACUUUCUGGACUUGAACUGACGCUGAGGCACGAAAGCGUAGGGAGCAAACAGG